Nycticebus coucang (slow loris) is the source of this 880-nucleotide long non-coding RNA. RefSeq lists it as uncharacterized. The record is from RefSeq and is a predicted model, not a curated record. The transcript is spliced from 5 exons. Lineage: Eukaryota; Metazoa; Chordata; Mammalia; Primates; Lorisidae.
GGAGGAGGCUGGAGGAAUGCACAGCAGUGGUCGGGAGGGGACACGAAGUGCAGGACAUGGUGUUUCUGGUCAGCAGACUUUCGGAGGACUCAGAUUGAGAUGGAAGGCAUUUGAGCACCUCUAACUCUUACUGCCAUGGAAUCUUCAAGGAGAGGGAAGCACAGUCUUGACAGUGGCCCUGAAGGACCUAUAGCUUCUUCUUGGAUAUCUGCAUCACUGGGAAGCUGAGAUCUCAAGGAGGCAGGUCUCCAGAUGGCAGCUAUAUCAGCAGGUGUCAUACCUAUUUUGGGAAAGGAAAUGAAGGAAGGAGAAAGGCUGAAGGACAAUAGGUUAAUUAUUGUCUCUUCGAUUCAUACCCUUAUGGAUGUUUUCACUGAGCACUGCUCCCGGAGUGAAAGUCACACAAAUGAAAGAGAUUUACUUCUGCCUAAGAAGUUCCUACGCUAAUAUCAAGCUAUGGAGAAUGGCUCCCAUGUAGAAGAUUCUCUCAGUAUUGCCUGGGUGCAUCAUUUUCACUCUAAUUUUUGAUCUUUUCAUGGAAUUAUAGCUCAUAAGCAGAGAGAAAGAAAUGGCUGUGUCCCUGAGCUACAGCUGUGGGAUGGGGAAAAUGGUGGGAGAGGAAGAUGUUUCAUGGUAUAGCACAUGACUUGUCAUGCUGCAAAAAAUAUUAUUGCCCAUUGGUCUCUUAUCAGAGCUGACUUUUCUUGACAAAAGGAAAUAAAUGUAAACUCUCUCCUUCAUUUCAGCUCUUAUAAGAGAAUGUAUCAGGAACUUGACUUUCCUGACCUUUAUAGACAACCAUAACUGAAAUGAUACUUGUGAGUUAAUGUAUGUUUGUUGACACUCAUUUUGUCCUUUAGAUUUUAAAAUGCAAUUUGUA